UUAAAGGUAAUUGACGGGGCCCGCACAAGCAGCGGAGCGUGUGGUUUAAUUCGUUGCUACACGAAGAACCUUACCUGGGUUUUGACAUAUAGGUUGUAGGGAACUGAAAAGGGACCGACCCUUCGGGGAGCCUAUACAGGUAUUGCAUGGCUGUCGUCAGCUCGUGUCGUGAGAUGUUCGGUUAAGUCCGCUAACGAGCGCAACCCUCGUCGUAUGUUAUAUGUGUCAUACGAGACUGCCGGUAAAAGCCGGAGGAAGGUGAGGAUGAUGUCAAGUCAGCAUGACCUUUAUAUCCAGGGCUACACACACGCUACAAUGGUCUGUACAAUGGGUAGCCAAGCCGCGAGGCGGAGCCAACCCUGAAAGCAGGCCUCAGUUCAGAUUGCAGUCUGCAACUCGACUGCAUGAAGCCGGAGUUGCUAGUAACCGCAGGUCAGCAAUACUGCGGUGAAUACGUUCCCGGGUCUU
Molecule: ribosomal RNA, 468 nt
Filed under: uncultured Anaerolineaceae bacterium
Lineage: Bacteria; Bacillati; Chloroflexota; Anaerolineae; Anaerolineales; Anaerolineaceae
Description: bacterial SSU rRNA
Rfam family: Bacterial small subunit ribosomal RNA
Source: RNAcentral